Molecule: microRNA, 21 nt
Filed under: Homo sapiens (human)
Lineage: Eukaryota; Metazoa; Chordata; Mammalia; Primates; Hominidae
Description: hsa-miR-548bc
Gene: hsa-miR-548bc
Source: miRBase by way of RNAcentral
AAAAACUGUGAUUACUUUUGC